RNAcentral lists this ribosomal RNA (565 nucleotides) under uncultured bacterium. Its description in RNAcentral is "bacterial SSU rRNA". It matches the Rfam family "Bacterial small subunit ribosomal RNA", at positions 8 to 608 of the family's 1533-position model. The record is from RNAcentral.
AGAGUUUGAUCCUGGCUCAGAAUGAACGUUGGCGGCGUGGAUUAGGCAUGCGAGUCGCGCGAGAAUGUAGCAAUACAGGAAAGCGGCGAAAGGGAGAGGACAACAUGGGAAUCUGCCCGGGGGCCGGGGAUAGCUACGGGAAACUGUAGGUAAUACCCGAUAAGGUCUACGGACCAAAGGUUUACUGCCCCUGGAUGAGCCCAUGCCCCAUUAGCUUGUUGGCGGUGUAAUAGACCACCAAGGCGAUGAUGAGUAGCUGGUGUGAGAGCACGACCAGCCUCACUGGCACUGAGACACUGGCCAGACACCUACGGGUGGCUGCAGUCGAGAAUCUUCGGCAAUGGACGAAAGUCUGACCGAGCGACGCCGCGUGCGGGAUGAAGGCCUUCGGGUUGUAAACCGCUGUCGAGGGGGAUUAAGGGCAACUUGAAUGAACCCUGGAGGAAGGAGAGGCUAAGCUCGUGCCAGCAGCCGCGGUAAGACGAGCUCUCCAAACGUUAUUCGGUAUCACUGGGCUUAAAGAGUUCGUAGGCGGCUUUGUAGGUGGGGUGUGAAAGCCCUCGGC